This 406-nucleotide ribosomal RNA is filed under the name uncultured bacterium. Its description in RNAcentral is "partial 16S ribosomal RNA". It matches the Rfam family "Bacterial small subunit ribosomal RNA", at positions 30 to 526 of the family's 1533-position model. The record is from RNAcentral.
AUUGAACGCUGGCGGCAGGCCUAACACAUGCAAGUCGAACGAGUGGCGGACGGGUGAGUAAUGUCUGGGAAACUGCCUGAUGGAGGGGGAUAACUCCUGGAAACGGUAGCUAAUACCGCAUACCAUCAGAUGUGCCCAGAUGGGAUUAGCUAGUAGGUGGGGUAAAGGCUCACCGAGGCGACGAUCCCUAGCUGGUCUGAGAGGAUGACCAGCCACACUGGAACUGAGACACGGUCCAGACUCCGACGGGAGGCAGCAGUGGGGAAUAUUGCACAAUGGGCGCAAGCCUGAUGCAGCCAUGCCGCGUGUAUGAAGAAGGCCUUCGGGUUGUAAAGGACUUUCAGCGGGGAGGCGUUACCCGCAGAAGAAGCACCGGCUAACUCCGUGCCAGCAGCCGCGGUAAUUC